CCUACGGGAGGCAGCAGUGAGGAAUAUUGGUCAAUGGGCGCGAGCCUGAACCAGCCAAGUCGCGUGAGGGAUGACGGUUCUCUGGAUCGUAAACCUCUUUUAUAAGGGAAUACAGUUUGGGACGUGUCCUUUUUUGUAUGUACCUUAUGCAUAAGGAUCGGCUAACUCCUUGCCAGCAGCCGCGGUAAUACGGAGGAUCCGAGCGUUAUCCGGAUUUAUUGUGUUUAAUGGGUGCGUAGGCGGCCUUUUAAGUCAGCGGUGAAAGUCUGUGGCUCAACCAUAGAAUUGCCGUUGACACUGGGGGGAUUGAGUAUGUUUGAGGCAGGCGGAAUGCGUGGUGUAGCGGUGAAAUGCUUAGAUAUCACGCAGAACCCCGAUUGCGAAGGCAGCCUGCCAAGCCAUGACUGACGCUGAUGCACGAAAGCGUGGGGAUCAAACAGGAUUAGAUACCCUUGUAGUC
This 460-nucleotide ribosomal RNA is filed under the name uncultured bacterium. RNAcentral's name for it is "partial 16S ribosomal RNA". It matches the Rfam family "Bacterial small subunit ribosomal RNA", at positions 338 to 795 of the family's 1533-position model. The record is from RNAcentral.